This is a long non-coding RNA of Homo sapiens (human), 747 nucleotides long. Ensembl annotates it as long intergenic non-protein coding RNA 970. Lineage: Eukaryota; Metazoa; Chordata; Mammalia; Primates; Hominidae. The record is from Ensembl.
ACUCUGUUGGUGAAUGCAGUCUCAAGCCUACUCACAUUCAAGUGGGUGUCAUGGGAGCUCUUGCUGAUGGUGAGGAGCCUCAUUAUCUUAAGACAACACACAGUGGAGAUGUGCUUUACGUAAUUGGCCUGCCCUGUGAAAACCCCUGGCUGUUUUUUCAGAUAAGGAGACUGAAGCAUCUAGAGUUGGAGUAAUUUCCACAAGAUCACAGAGGCAAGAUUUCACUCUGUCACCCAGACUGGAGUGCAGUGGCACAAACAUAGCUCACUGAAGCCUCAAACUCCUGGGCUCAAGAGAUCCUUCUGCUUCAGCCUCCUGAGUAGCUGGGACUUCAGAAUCCCAGUCCUCUCUCUCUCACUGACCCCGAAGAUAAGCAUUGGAAAGGGGAGCUUUGGGGAAAUGAAUCUGCCCUGUCAUCUGCGUAUAGAGCUAAUCUUAAAUCCCAACUGCCAAAUGGAUCCUGAGGUGUCAGAAACUCUCCCGAGAUAAGGGGGCUUCUAGCAACCAUCUGCAUUCUGGACCCAGGUAUGUUGUGUUUGUAAUCUCAUUCACUCACUCGUUCAUUCUUCCAUGCCUCCCCUGAUCCCCUUCCUGAAGUAAGAGCCUUCUGUUGAUGUCGAUGAAAGAACCCUGUUUAUUUUCUUCAACUGAGAGUCUAACACACUGUGCCCUGGGCAAGGUUGAGAAUCAGCCAAAGCUUGUCUUCUUUGUCCAAUAUAAUCUAAUAAAUGGGUGUGUAACCACUUG